This 120-nucleotide ribosomal RNA is filed under the name Harpegnathos saltator (Jerdon's jumping ant). Lineage: Eukaryota; Metazoa; Arthropoda; Insecta; Hymenoptera; Formicidae. The record is from RNAcentral.
GACAGUGAUCAUACCACGUUGAAAGUACUAGUUCUCGUCUGAUCACUGAAGUCACGCAAUGUUGGGCACAGUUGGUACUUGGGCGGUUUUACCACUUGGGUUUUAUACCGUGUGCUGUCG